CCCUUAGAUGUCCUGGGCCGCACGCGCGCUACACUGACAUGUUCAACAAGCCUCCUAGUUCGACAGGAUUUGGGAAAUCUUUGAACGCAUGUCGUGAUAGGGAUAGAUCAUUGCAAUUAUUGAUCUUGAACGAGGAAUUCCUAGUAAACGCGAGUCAUCAGCUCGCAUUGAUUACGUCCCUACCCUUUGUACACACCGCCCGUCGCACCUACCGAUUGAAUGUUUCGGUGAAGAUUCCGGAUAGGACUUUUUUGAUUUAUUUCAAUUUUGUCUUAAAAGCUAUCUAAACCUCAACAUUUAGAGGAAGGUGAAGUCGUAACA
RNAcentral lists this ribosomal RNA (321 nucleotides) under uncultured eukaryote. RNAcentral describes it as "partial 18S ribosomal RNA". It matches the Rfam family "Eukaryotic small subunit ribosomal RNA", at positions 1470 to 1796 of the family's 1831-position model. The record is from RNAcentral.